This 650-nucleotide ribosomal RNA is filed under the name uncultured bacterium. Its description in RNAcentral is "bacterial SSU rRNA". It matches the Rfam family "Bacterial small subunit ribosomal RNA", at positions 34 to 692 of the family's 1533-position model. The record is from RNAcentral.
CGCUGGCGGCGUGCCUAAACAUGCAAGUCGAACGCGCUCCAUUCGGUAGCAAUACUGAUGAAGAGCGAGUGGCGAACGGGUGAGUAGCACGUGAGCAACCUGCCCCGAAGACUGGGACAACACCGGGAAACCGGUGCUAAUACCGGAUAUCCCUAUCGGACCGCAUGAUCCGAUAAGGAAAUGUUUUUUCGCUUCGGGAGGGGCUCGCGGCCUAUCAGCUUGUUGGUGGGGUAACGGCCCACCAAGGCAUCGACGGGUAGCUGGUCUGAGAGGACGAUCAGCCACACUGGGACUGAGACACGGCCCAGACUCCUACGGGAGGCAGCAGUGGGGAAUCUUGCGCAAUGGGCGAAAGCCUGACGCAGCAACGCCGCGUGGAGGACGAAGGCUUUCUGAGUUGUAAACUCCUUUCAGCAGGGACGAUUGUGACGGUACCUGCAGAAGAAGCACCGGCCAACUACGUGCCAGCAGCCGCGGUGAUACGUAGGGUGCAAGCGUUGUCCGGAUUUAUUGGGCGUAAAGAGCUCGUAGGCGGUUUGAUAAGUCGGGUGUGAAACCUCCAGGCUCAACCUGGAGCCGNCACUCGAUACUGUCAUGACUUGAAUUCGGUAGGGGACCACGGAAUUCCUGGUGUAGCGGUGAAAUGCGCA